Long non-coding RNA from Fundulus heteroclitus (mummichog), 1665 nucleotides. RefSeq lists it as uncharacterized. The record is from RefSeq and is a predicted model, not a curated record. The transcript has 2 exons. Lineage: Eukaryota; Metazoa; Chordata; Actinopteri; Cyprinodontiformes; Fundulidae.
AUAGGGAAAUGCAGGUUUACCAGGAGUCAAGGGAAAGAAAAGAAGCAUGCAGACACACGUUUAACAUAUAAAAACUACAAAAAGUUAAGAAUAAAAGACUGUAGAGUAAGCUCAAAUUUACCACAUAAGUAAAUAGUAUUGCAUCCUGUUUUUGUAAUAUCUGUUGUAUAUACAGUCUAUCUAUACAUCCAUUAUUUAUACCCGCUUAUCCGUGCAGGAAUGUGGGGGCUGGUGCCCAUCUCCAGUGGUCACUGGACAGGAGGUGGGGUAAACCCUGGACAGGUCUGUUUUUUGGACUGUGAGAGAACACCAGAGUACCCAGAGAGAAACCAUCCAUACACAAGGAGAACAUGCAAACUCCGUGCCGAAAGAACUGAGGCUGGGAUUUGAACCUAGGACAUUUUUGCUGCUACCAGCUGCACCGCUGUUCAGCCUUACCGCAGUUUCUUAUUCUUAUUUUUUUGUUGUUGUAAUUCUUUCCUCAGUUUUAAGAUUUUAAUGAGGGUUCUUUUUUUAUAUUGAUACUGUGUCCCUUUUCACACAAGAAAUUGUUAAUAAUGUGAAAAAAAACAUUUUAAAGAAGUAUCUAAUUUAUCAGUAGACUACUUCAAAUGCCAAGUGACAGAACGAAAGAGUGGAUGUAGGUGUGUGCUCAUGGGCCCCACUUGGAAAUCAGAUUCAGCCUAAAUGUGUGGGUUUUUUUUUACAUGUCAUGGCAUUCACAGCCUCCUUCACAGUUACUGGCACCACUGGUAAACAUGUAUAAAGAGAUUUAAAAUAAAUUCAUUAUCAAUUAAAGUAGCACAGUGUGAAACAGAAGAAAUGCCACAGUUUUCACACAGUGAGGUUUGGAGAUUUAUUUAUUUUUUACUUUGAUUGCCACUUUUUCAAAAAUAUAUACUUAUUCAAAAUUGUAUAUCUAUGCACCAGGUAUCCCACAUUUAUGUCAAAAUAGUAAAACUUCCAGUUGUUCUACACAUUUAAGCUAUCGCUUUGACAGUAGUUUGGUCAAGUAGCUACUUUGGUAUAGCUAUUUAGGAACAAAUGAAAUCUAGUAUCUACCUGCAGGGCCCACUCUGGACAGGUGUUCAGUCCAUCUCACCACAUCACAGACACAAACAAGACAAACAAUCAUGCAUGCACACGCUCACUCCAAAUAAUAGUUUAUAGAGGCCAGCAACUUAACUACAUACAUUAGAACUGUGGAAAGAAGCCAGAGUACCCAGAGAGAACCCACAAAUGCACUGGGAGAAGACCUCAGAUGUGGACUCUACCUCAAGAAUAUCUUGUUGCAUUUAAUCAAAUUAAAGGCUGGAUUUCUUUUAGAUAGAUUCAAUUAUUUUAAUGCUUUUUAAACAUCCUUAGUGGUACUGCUGAUUAGGAUUUCAAACAAACUCAUGCUGAUAUAAAUGUUCCUAAUUUGUUAAAUGAAAUGUAACUUACCAGUUACUUAUAAGUUCAAAACUUUGCUAUUUAUAAUUAAAAUGAAACCAGCUCUGCUGCAUAUUUUCACAGAAAUAUGUAACUUGAGUGUUGAAAAUUGUUCUUCGGUUUUUGUGAUCGUACUACACCUAAGUAGUUGUUUUGACAGCAAAGUUAACACUAACCAUGUUAUCUAUUAUCACUGUCUUGGUGAAAUGAAAUAAAAAAAAGACUACUACAUCA